RNAcentral lists this ribosomal RNA (328 nucleotides) under uncultured eukaryote. RNAcentral's name for it is "partial 18S ribosomal RNA". It matches the Rfam family "Eukaryotic small subunit ribosomal RNA", at positions 1470 to 1796 of the family's 1831-position model. The record is from RNAcentral.
CCCUUAGAUGCUCUGGGCUGCACGCGCGCUACACUGUUGCAUUCAGCGAGUUUUAACCAAGGCCGAAAGGUCAAGGUAAUCUUUGAAAGUGCAACGUGCUUGGGCUAGAUGAUUGCAAUUAUUCAUCUUAAACGAGGAAUGCCUAGUAAACGCAUGUCAUCAGCGUGCAUUGAUUACGUCCCUGCCCUUUGUACACACCGCCCGUCGCUCCUACCGAUUGGAUGAUCCGGUGAAUUCUCAGGAUCGUUGUCUUGGUGCUGUUUCAGCAUCCAGGAUAUGCGAGAAUUUGUGUAAACCUUAUCAUCUAGAGGAAGGAGAAGUCGUAACA